UCGCCAUCAUGUCUGCCGUUUGAACGGCCUUUUGGCAUCGGCUAAUACGAUUUCAUUUUUUUUAAUUCAUCAUGGAUAUUACAAAACUUUCUCAAAUACUAGCAUGUACUUUAGAUCCCAGUUUGCGAGUUGAAGCUGAAAGACAAUUAAAUGAGUUUUAUCAAACUCCAGGAUUUGUAUCUCAGUUGCUUCAAGUCGUGAUGUCCACAGAUGCUCAACAAUCCAUACGGCAAUCCGCUGGUAUAUAUCUAAAGAAUAUGAUCACCCAUUGUUGGCGCAACAGAGAGCAAAGAGAUGCUGUUGGGAAUGAAACUAUCUUUGUAAUUUCAAAUGAAGAUAAAAAUUUGAUAAGAAGCAACAUCAUCGAGGCCAUUAUUCAAUCACCUGAACUCAUAAGGCUUCAAUUGACAGUUUGUGUCAGUAAAAUAAUGUUACAUGACUUUCCGGAGUUUUGGCCUACAGCACCUCAAAUUAUUCAUAAUUAUCUUGCAAGUGAUAAUCAAUCAUCUUGGUUUGGUUCCCUCGUUGGUCUUUAUCAGUUAGUGAAGAAAUACGAAUAUAAGAAAGCUGAUGAACGGAUCGUUCUUCAUAAUAUUAUGAAAGAGUUUUUGCCUCUCCUAUAUCAACGAUGUGCUGGUUUGAUGCAGGAUCAAUCUACUUCCGCUACUGAAAUAAAGAAAAUGAUUAUAAAGAUUAUAUUUGCUGUUUUUCAGUAUCACCUUCCUACGGAUGUAUUUACUGAACAAAAUCUUCCUCCCUGGAUGCAUAUAUAUCAGCAAAUAGUGGAUCAACAGGUUCCUCAGGAAUGUUUAGAUUUGAAUGACGACGACGAGAGAGAGAAGUCUUCAUGGUGGAAACUAAAGAAAUGGGCAAUUCAUUCAAUGUGGCGAUUAUUUGACCGAUACGGUACACCAGGGUCGAUUGAUAAAGCCUAUGAAGGCUUUGCUAAUUAUUUUUGCAAGACAUUCGCUGUUAACAACACACAAACUGUAUUAAAGCUGCUAGACCAGUAUAGAAGACAGAUGUAUGUUGCACCGCGAGUCUUACAAAUAGCCAUAAAUUACUUGAAAACUGGUGUUUCGAACGCUCUUCAUUGGAAAGUCAUGAAACCACAUGUCCACGCAAUUAUUGUAGAGAUAGUUUUUCCCAUAAUGAGUCACACAGAUGAAGAUGAAGAACUAUGGCAAGACGAUCCUUAUGAAUUUAUUCGUUUCAAGUACGAUGUGUACGAGGAUUUUGUAUCACCUGUUACAGCAGCUCAGAGUUUUUUACGGAAAGCGACAGAAAAGCGCAAACAAAUAUUAGAUCCCGUCAUGAAUUUUUGUGUACAAAUUUUGAAUGCGCCAGCAGAAACGAGAAAUCCCCGACAAAAGGACGGUAUCCUACAUAUGAUUGGUACAUUAUCGGAUAUAUUACUUAAGAAACAAAAAUACAAGUUUCACAUGGAAGCCAUGUUAUCUCAUCACGUGUUUCCCGAAACAGAAAGUCCUUUGGGGUUUAUGCGCGCUAGGGCCUGUUGGGUGGUCAAUUAUUUCAGUAAGAUUGAAUUCAAAAACGAAGGGAAUCUUAAACGCGCUGUGGAAACUGUUCGAGUCUGUCUUCUUCAUGAUAAAGAAUUACCUGUAAAGGUCGAGGCAGCUCUUGCCUUGCAAUUUCUCAUCCAGAGACAAGAUAAAGUGAAAGAUUAUAUUCAACCGUACAUACAAGCUGUCAUUCAAGAACUACUCAGUGUUAUACGAGAGACGGAGAACGAUGAUCUUACAGAUGCUUUACAAGAUCUUAUUAAGCAAUACAAGGAUGAUCCAAGGUUGGGAGAAAUGGCUGUUAUGAUAGCACAGCAUUUGGCAAUGACUUUCAAGAAUCUUCUUGAUUCAGAAGAAUCUGACGAUAAAGCCGUCACAGCAAUGGGGAUCUUAACGAAUUUUGAUACGAUGAUGACUGUAAUAGAGUCUAAGGAGAUUUGUGAUCAGUUGGAGAAAAUUGUUUCAGGCAUUAUCGAAGCUGUGUUAAAGGAAGGAAUUAUAGAUUUCUAUGAAGAUGUGCUCACCAUUAUGGUAACUGCGACGCUGUAUCAUGUGUCGCCGUUGAUGUGGAACUUGUUAUAUGUUAUGUAUGAAGCGUUCGAAAGAGAUGGUUUUGAUUUUUUCACAGAUAUGUCCAGCCCACUUCAUAAUUAUAUCACUGUAAAUCCAGAAGCAUUCAUUUCCAAUUCAAAGAAUAUGGAAAUCGUUUUUGCAAUGUGUCAUAAGAUGCUGUCUGACGAUGAUUGUGGCGAGGAUGCUCAGUGCUACGCUGCCAAAAUUCUAGAAGUUGUAAUAUUGCAGUUUCCUGGACGCAUUGAUCAAUGGAUCACACCAUUUGCUCAGCUGGCGUUGGCAAGGUUGACGAGGAACGUUGUCACCAGUGAAUUACGAGUGAUGUGUUUGCAAGUUGUUGUAUCAACGCUUUACUACAAUCCAAUAUUUCUUCCAACGAUCCUGGACAAGUUGCAUCUUCCCGAGUCUAGCGAACCCAUCACUGUACAAUUUUUUGCGCAAUGGAUGGAUGAUGCCAAUUGCUUCUUUGGAUUACAUGAUAGAAAAAUGUUUGUGCUUGGUCUUUGCUCCAUACUGGGUAUUCGCAGUGACAUGAGACCAAAAGGGCUCCAUGACUGCGCAUCACAAAUACUUCCAUCUCUGUUGUUGAUCUUUUCUGGUCUUCAAAAACAUAUGAAAGACAAGCAUUGUCGAAUGAAAAUAGUGAUGGCGACGAUGACGAGAACUUCAAUGAUGACGAUAAUGCAAACGAAGGAGAGUUAGAAAGUGAUGAUGAUGAAGUUAAUGAAGAUGAUAUUGUUUAUGUAGAAAAUCUCGCAAAGCGGGCGAGUAAUGCCAUGCUUAAUUACGAAGCUGAUGAUGAAGAUGAUGAAACAGAUCUUGAAGCAUAUACAACUGCAAUCGACAAUGAAGAUUCGGUUGAUGAAUAUGCAGUAUUCAAACAGUGCUUGUUGAAUAUUCAAGCGCAAGAUCCGGCCUGGUACAAUCAGUUGACUAAUUCUCUUAACGAUCAACAAAAACGAGAUCUACAACAUUUGUUUGUUCUUGCUGACCAGCGAAGAGCAGCUCAAGAAACGCGUCGACUGGACAUGCAAGGUGGAUAUAAUUUUGCGAACACAAGCGUACCAUCAAAUUUUUCUUUUGGAUAAACGCGUUUUUUGGCGGCUAUCCGAGAGAUUUUAUAAAACUACCUCAUUCAUGGAAUCCAAAUUUCAACUGCGAUGUCAGCUUUAUUGAACCAUAAUGAUAUAAAAUGUAAAUUCUGAUUGGGUAAGGUAUUUCCCAGGCUAUAGUAACUCUAAUAAAAUAAAUGCAUCAAUAUUUUUAUGUUCUGCAUGUGCAUGAAAACGAAAUUUAAUCUCGUUUUAUGUUACGCUUGCAGGUACCUCAUUUGUAAUUUAAAAAAUAAAUAUAUGUUAUUUGCUGGAUGGGAAAGUAUUUGCCCGUGGCGACGUUUUUUAAACCGAGGGGAAAUAUUUUUUCCAUCCUGGACCUACCUAAACGGUAAA
Xenia sp. Carnegie-2017 is the source of this 3544-nucleotide RNA transcript. It is a transcript of the gene named importin-7-like, with no coding region annotated. NCBI's taxonomy places the organism in Eukaryota, Metazoa, Cnidaria, Anthozoa, Malacalcyonacea, Xeniidae. The record is from RefSeq and is a predicted model, not a curated record. The transcript has 28 exons.